AGUAACGCGUGGGUAACCUGCCCUGUACAGGGGCAUAACAGUUGGAAACGGCUGCUAAUACCGCAUAAGCGCACGAGAGGACAUCCUCUUGUGUGAAAAACUCCGGUGGUACAGGAUGGGCCCGCGUCUGAUUAGCUGGUUGGCAGGGUAACGGCCUACCAAGGCGACGAUCAGUAGCCGGUCUGAGAGGAUGAACGGCCACAUUGGAACUGAGACACGGUCCAAACUCCUACGGGAGGCAGCAGUGGGGAAUAUUGCACAAUGGGGGAAACCCUGAUGCAGCAACGCCGCGUGAGUGAAGAAGUAUUUCGGUAUGUAAAGCUCUAUCAGCAGGGAAGAUAAUGACGGUACCUGACUAAGAAGCUCCGGCUAAAUACGUGCCAGCAGCCGCGGUAAUACGUAGGGAGCAAGCGUUAUCCGGAUUUACUGGGUGUAAAGGGCGCGCAGGCGGGCCGGUAAGUUGGAAGUGAAAUCUAUGGGCUUAACCCAUAAACUGCUUUCAAAACUGCUGGUCUUGAGUGAUGGAGAGGCAGGCGGAAUUCCGUGUGUAGCGGUGAAAUGCGUAGAUAUACGGAGGAACACCAGUGGCGAAGGCGGCCUGCUGGA
RNAcentral lists this ribosomal RNA (606 nucleotides) under uncultured bacterium. Its description in RNAcentral is "bacterial SSU rRNA". It matches the Rfam family "Bacterial small subunit ribosomal RNA", at positions 109 to 733 of the family's 1533-position model. The record is from RNAcentral.